RNAcentral lists this ribosomal RNA (497 nucleotides) under uncultured bacterium. RNAcentral describes it as "partial 16S ribosomal RNA". It matches the Rfam family "Bacterial small subunit ribosomal RNA", at positions 28 to 507 of the family's 1533-position model. The record is from RNAcentral.
GAUGAACGCUGGCGGCGUGCCUAACACAUGCAAGUCGAGCGAACGGACCAGACGCUUGUUUUUCUGAUGUUAGCCGCGGACGGGAGAGUCACACGUGUAUACCCUCCCUAUCAGACUGGUAUCACUUCGGGAAACCGGAGCUAAUCCCGGAUAAUAUUCUGAUCCGCAUUGUUCAAUAGUGAAAGACGGUCUUGCUGUCACUUCUCGAUGGAUCUGCGCUGCAUUAGCUAGUUGGUAAGGUAACGGCUUGUCAAGGCAACGAUGCGUAGCCGACCUGAGAGGGUGAUCGGCCACACUGGAACUGAGACGCGCACAAGACGCCUACGGGAGGCAGCAGUAGGGAAUCGGACGCAAUAGGCGAGAACAUGACGGAGCGGCGCGACGUCAGAGGUGGAGGUCUUGGGAGCGGGAGGAUGUGUUUUGGGGGAAGAACAUAUGUGGAAGGAGAUGAGGACAGAGUGACGGUAACUAGUAAAAAAGCAACGGCUAACUACGUG